This 497-nucleotide ribosomal RNA is filed under the name uncultured bacterium. RNAcentral's name for it is "partial 16S ribosomal RNA". It matches the Rfam family "Bacterial small subunit ribosomal RNA", at positions 28 to 507 of the family's 1533-position model. The record is from RNAcentral.
GAUGAACGCUGGCGGCGUGCCUAAUACAAGCAAGUCGAGCGAACGGACGAGAAGCUUGCUUCUCUGAUGUUAGCGGCGGACGGGUGAGUAACACGUGGAUAACCUACCUAUAAGACUGGGAUAACUUCGGGAAACCGGAGCUAAUACCGGAUAAUAUUUUGAACCGCAUGGUUCAAAAGUGAAAGACGGUCUUGCUGUCACUUAUAGAUGGAUCCGCGCUGCAUUAGCUAGUUGGUAAGGUAACGGCUUACCAAGGCAACGAUGCAUAGCCGACCUGAGAGGGUGAUCGGCCACACUGGAACUGAGACACGGUCCAGACUCCUACGGGAGGCAGCAGUAGGGAAUCUUCCGCAAAGGGCGAAAGCCUGACGGAGCAACGCCGCGUGAGUGAUGAAGGUCUUCGGAUCGUAAAACUCUGUUAUUAGGGAAGAACAUAUGUGUAAGUAACUGUGCACAUCUUGACGGUACCUAAUCAGAAAGCCACGGCUAACUACGUG